This is a long non-coding RNA of Dreissena polymorpha, 482 nucleotides long. RefSeq lists it as uncharacterized. The transcript has 3 exons. NCBI's taxonomy places the organism in Eukaryota, Metazoa, Mollusca, Bivalvia, Myida, Dreissenidae. The record is from RefSeq and is a predicted model, not a curated record.
CAUUGACACAGUAAACAUCGCGGGAAUAUUACGUUUGUUUAUUUCCGAGGAACGAACACAAAACUCCAUUCUGCGUGGAAUGUUCGAGCGAUGAAAAAGAGGCCCUUGACGUACCGUAUUGAUGAUGUUCACAAUCAGCGUCUCUCUGACGGUGGACACGGAGUCGCCGCACGUGUUCUGGGCGUUCACGGCUCCGGAACUUUUGAAAUCGAAUCCGCCCGGAUUAUGGGCGUACACCAGAUUUGACAGAUGACAUCAAGCAGAUAUGACGUCAUCAGAAUCUUUAAGGCUGAAUGAGUUUAGCUCCAGAGCGGAAACGGAAGUGUCUUCUAGGAACUGAUAUGACGUCGUAGGAAACGACGUUAGAACUGGGUCCUACGAGGAAAUGGAUUUUAAAAUAAAUUUCAUUUACAAUUGCAAAAUGGUUUAUAACCGUGUAUUGCUUUCCCCGAGAUUAAAUAAAGAGACCUCUGGAAGCAAAA